RNAcentral lists this small nuclear RNA (164 nucleotides) under Chelydra serpentina (North American snapping turtle). RNAcentral describes it as "U1 spliceosomal RNA (ENSCSRG00000010878.1)". It matches the Rfam family "U1 spliceosomal RNA". Rfam says of the family: U1 is a small nuclear RNA (snRNA) component of the spliceosome (involved in pre-mRNA splicing). The record is from Rfam by way of RNAcentral. Lineage: Eukaryota; Metazoa; Chordata; Testudines; Chelydridae.
AUACUUACCUGGCAGGGGAGAUACCAUGAUCACGAAGGUGGUUUUCCCAGGGUGAGGCUCAUCCAUUGCACUGCGGAUGUACUGACCCCUGCGAUUUCCCCAAAUGCGGGAAACUCGACUGCAUAAUUUGUGGUAAUGGGGGACUGCGUUUGCGCUCUCCCCUG